RNAcentral lists this ribosomal RNA (426 nucleotides) under uncultured Corynebacterium sp. RNAcentral's name for it is "bacterial SSU rRNA". It matches the Rfam family "Bacterial small subunit ribosomal RNA", at positions 65 to 504 of the family's 1533-position model. Lineage: Bacteria; Bacillati; Actinomycetota; Actinomycetes; Mycobacteriales; Corynebacteriaceae. The record is from RNAcentral.
AACGGAAAGGCCCUGCUUGCAGGGUACUCGAGUGGCGAACGGGUGAGUAACACGUGGGUGAUCUGCCCUGCACUUCGGGAUAAGCUUGGGAAACUGGGUCUAAUACCGGAUAGGAACCAUCUUUAGUGUGGUGGUUGGAAAGUUUUUUCGGUGUAGGAUGAGCUCGCGGCCUAUCAGCUUGUUGGUGGGGUAAUGGCCUACCAAGGCGGCGACGGGUAGCCGGCCUGAGAGGGUGUACGGCCACAUUGGGACUGAGAUACGGCCCAGACUCCUACGGGAGGCAGCAGUGGGGAAUAUUGCACAAUGGGCGCAAGCCUGAUGCAGCGACGCCGCGUGGGGGAUGAAGGCCUUCGGGUUGUAAACUCCUUUCGCUAGGGACGAAGCUUUUUUGUGACGGUACCUAGAUAAGAAGCACCGGCUAACUAC